GAACGCACAUUGCGCCCGCCAGUAUUCUGGCGGGCAUGCCUGUUCGAGCGUCAUUUCAACCAUCAAGCCCCGCUUGUGCUGGGGUCCUGCGGCUGCCCCGCAGGCCCCGAAAUCCAGUGGCGGGCUCGCUAGUCACACCGAGCGCAGUAGUAAUCUUCGCUUAGGUCGUGCGGCGGGUCCCUGCCGUUAAAACAAACUAUUUUUUAAGGUUGACCUCGGAUCAGGUAGGAAUACCCGCUGAACUUAAG
RNAcentral lists this unclassified non-coding RNA (248 nucleotides) under uncultured Ascomycota. RNAcentral's name for it is "sequence contains 5.8S rRNA gene". The stretch from base 1 to 53 matches the Rfam family "5.8S ribosomal RNA", at positions 102 to 154 of the family's 154-position model. Lineage: Eukaryota; Fungi; Ascomycota. The record is from RNAcentral.